GUCGCUCCACCCGAGUGUGCUGGAAAUGAGGCUCGGUCAUUCUGGUCGUGUCGAGUUUCUAGCAUGCGAGGAGGGAGAAGUCGUAACAAGGUAGCCGUAGGGGAACCUGCGGCUGGAUCACCUCCUAU
This 128-nucleotide ribosomal RNA is filed under the name Promethearchaeota archaeon. RNAcentral's name for it is "Candidatus Lokiarchaeota archaeon partial 16S ribosomal RNA". It matches the Rfam family "Archaeal small subunit ribosomal RNA", at positions 1352 to 1478 of the family's 1478-position model. The record is from RNAcentral. Lineage: Archaea; Promethearchaeati; Promethearchaeota.